Molecule: RNA transcript, 1009 nt
Organism: Zeugodacus cucurbitae (melon fly)
Lineage: Eukaryota; Metazoa; Arthropoda; Insecta; Diptera; Tephritidae
Exons: 4
Source: RefSeq, a predicted model, not a curated record
CGCGCGAUGUAAACAAAUAUUCUAUUUACUUUUUGGGGGUAGUAAAGUGAUUAAUUUUAAAAAUAAGCUUCAAAAAUGUUUAUGUGUUUUAAUGCACAUUUCGUUGAUACUGAGGAAGAGCCGCGUAUUAAGCGUAGACGUUUAAGGGAUAGUUCAAAUGUGCUGGAUUUACCAAACAAAGACUGAUUUUAUCAGACAUUGGCCCUAAAAUAGGAAAAAGAAUACGCUCCACGGCUAUACCAGAUAUUACCAAAUUAGCUUGCUUCUUUCAUGCUCUCGGCGGGCAGAAUCAAUGAAGGUUGACACAAACCCAAAUACUUGUGUAUCACAAGGCAAAGAUCGUUGCCGAAUGUUUGGAAAUAUUCGAAGAACACUUUUGCGGCAAGUGGAUAACUUUAAAAAUGUCUGCAAAGGAGGAAGCUAAAAAUAGGGAAGCAUUUUACAGGAAGACCAAAGUGCCUGGUAUAAUGGGUUGUGUUGAUUGCACGCAUUUUACAAUAAUACGUCCGUCACUUGAGGAAAAACAUUUAUACCAAAAUAAAAGUGGGUCUUUUAGUUUAAUUAGUUUAUUUACGCUAAUGAUUUCUGAUGCAAACUUGGUUGUGAGGUUUGUCGAUGCAAGAAAACCAGCUGAUAAUGAGGAUGAUUUGGUUUGGCUACUAAGUAAGGGCUUAUAGGUGAUACUGACUUGACACUGCAACCAUAUUUGAUGACACCAUAUCGGAAACCAACUAAGCGUUAUGAAAUUAUUUACAAUAAGAGACUUGUGGAAGCACACAAAUACAUUGCCGAGUGUUUCAACGCUAUUAGAAAUAGAUUUCGCUGUUUAGCGGUCGAUAAAGCCAUAUUUUACCAGCCGGAGAAAGCAACUAAUAUAAUUAAUGUUUGUAGUGCAAUUCAUAAUGCUUGCAUAUUUUAUAAAGACAAUUCGCAAUUUGAUGAGAUAAGUGCUACGAAAAAAAGCGAAAACAAUAGUUAUAACAACCCAUCGUUUAGCAGUGAUGAAGAU